GGGGUUCUAGCUCAUCGGUAGAGCGCUCGCUUAGCAUUCUGCCCAGUCAAUAUGCGAGAGGUACAGGAUUCGACUCCCUGGUACUCCA
RNAcentral lists this transfer RNA (88 nucleotides) under Puccinia graminis f. sp. tritici. RNAcentral describes it as "tRNA-Ala". It matches the Rfam family "tRNA". From Rfam's summary of the family: Transfer RNA (tRNA) molecules are approximately 80 nucleotides in length. The record is from RNAcentral. Lineage: Eukaryota; Fungi; Basidiomycota; Pucciniomycetes; Pucciniales; Pucciniaceae.